AUGUUAUAUUCUGAUCCCUUGGAGUUUCGACCAGAGAGAUUCCUUACAAGACACAAAGAUGUUGAUGUGAAGGGACGACACUUUGAGUUGAUUCCGUUUGGUGCAGACGGAGGAGAAGUAGAUAUGGUUGAACAAAGUGGAAUAACCAAUAUCAAAGCCUCUCCUCUCCAAGUCAUUCUCACUCCUCGUCUCUCGGCUCAAGUAUGGCGAUGCAGUUACUAA
Molecule: non-coding RNA, 222 nt
Organism: Vicia faba (fava bean)
Lineage: Eukaryota; Viridiplantae; Streptophyta; Magnoliopsida; Fabales; Fabaceae
Source: the annotation of a GenBank genome assembly